This 63-nucleotide transfer RNA is filed under the name Parhyale hawaiensis. RNAcentral's name for it is "tRNA-Phe". Lineage: Eukaryota; Metazoa; Arthropoda; Malacostraca; Amphipoda; Hyalidae. The record is from RNAcentral.
AUUAAAAUAGCUUAUUUCAGAGUUUUACACUGAAGAUGUAAAGGAGAUAUUUAUCUUUUAAUA